RNAcentral lists this unclassified non-coding RNA (342 nucleotides) under soil metagenome. Its description in RNAcentral is "partial contains 5.8S ribosomal RNA, internal transcribed spacer 2, and large subunit ribosomal RNA". The stretch from base 2 to 121 matches the Rfam family "5.8S ribosomal RNA", at positions 35 to 154 of the family's 154-position model. The record is from RNAcentral.
GGAUGAAGAACGUAGCGAAAUGCGAUACGUAGUGUGAAUUGCAGAAUUCAGUGAAUCAUCGAAUCUUUGAACGCACAUUGCACCUCUCGGUAUUCCGGGAGGUAUGCCUGUUCGAGCGUCAUAACGUGCCCUCAAGCUCUGCUUGGUGUUGGGUGUUUUGUUCCACCUCUGCGUGUGAACUCGCCUUAAAACAAUUGGCAGCCGGCGUACUGGUUUCGGAGCGCAGCACAUUUUGCGCUUUAGUCCCAUGUACGGCGGCAUCCAAGAAGCCUUCUUUAAUAAUCUUGACCUCGGAUCAGGUAGGGAUACCCGCUGAACUUAAGCAUAUCAAUAAGCGGAGGA